CAACAACUACUACUACUACUUUAUUCUUAUAACCUGCCUCCAUCUCCCCGAAGGGACUCAGGGCAACUUAUACGGGGACCAAGCCCGAAAAAACAAUGUACAAGAUAUAAAAUAAAAUGCAUAAUAAACAAUAUAAUCCAACACAAUUAAAAUCACAGAAUAAAAGCAUCAAAAAUACAUCAAUGAGCAUAAAAAAUUGAAAAGUGGGGUAAAUAAAAUAGUAAGGGAAAGGGCAGGGCUUGUGCAAAACGCAGAACAAUAGAACCAGGAAUGGGAAUAAAGUGCUGGAAGCCAGGACAGGGACUUUCUAUUCCUGUGAUCAUUGGAUUUUGAGAAAUUUCCCAGAGGGGAUACGCUCCUACUCCACUUGCAAGAACCUUGGACUAUGGUUGACUCAGAGCUGCCAGUGCAGGAGGCCACUGUCAUGCGAUAGGAGCCCAAGGAAAGAUUGUGUGCUGAAGCCCAAAUAAAAGCUGUUGGAUGGAGUUGUCUGCUGCCACCUUAGAGUCCAUUGAAGUCUCCUUCCUUAGAGGUUUUAAACAGGGGCUGGAUGCCUAUUUGUCAGGAAGGUUAUCCUUGUGUCUUCCUACAGGGAAGAAUGGGGUCGGACUGGAUGGCUGGGCUCCCUUCAAGCCUUAUGACUCCAGGAAAUGGGUCUUAUUGGGAUAAUCCCCACCUCCUGGAUCCUCCGCUCCACUUGGUCUCCCUCUGCUUUUUCCUUGGCAGACUUCAUGCAGUCAGCCUUAGAAGGGGCUCCAAGGGCCAUCCAGUCCAACCCCUUCCACUAGACAAGAAUGUCCACCCAAGCCCUCCUAACACAUGGCCAUCGAUUUUGACAUAUACAGCCUCUAUGUAAAAGACUUCAGAAAAGGAGGCUCCAAUAAACUAACUUUGAAAGAGUUAUAAUCUUGGUGGAUGAAGGGGGAAACGGCACACCUAAAUUCAGGAAGGCUUUUGUAAAGGUCCCCCAGGACAAUCUCACAAAAAAAGCCAGUAGAAUGUGGGCGAGACAGUGCUCCUGUGAGGUGGAUUGGAAACUGGUUCAUAGGCCGAACCCAGAGGGUGCUUCUGUGCAGUGGCUCCUCUUUCUUCCUCCUGGAAGGAGAUACCAGAGGGGCGCCAAAAAGAGGGUUCUGUCCUGAGCCCCUUAGGGCUAUGCAACGCCUUGGAGGAUGGAAUGGAAGGGAUGCUUCUUGGGGGGAAGGGAAGGGAGAAGCUGAGGUCUUCUUCUGUCUCAUGCCUUUCUAGCAGCUUCCUUUCAGAGAGAAUCCCAACUUCUUCAAAGAAAAAACUACCCAGAGAGUUGGUGAGUGAAAGAAGGGGGCUGGAAAGGAGGGAGCUUUCCUCUCUCCUUCCUUCGGGAAAUGGAUUCUGGGUCAGGGCCAACCCAAGACCCCUUGAGUUCUAACUGGACUUGCUUGGGGAGGGAAUCCUGCAGCCCUCAAAUGCUGUUGGACUUCAAGUCCCAACAGCCCUGGCAACAUGGUCAUUGAGGAGGAAGGCUGGCGGUUGCAGUCCAACCCUCUCCGGGACUUGCAGUGCGAAUGCACCUGAAAAAGAGAGGAGAGUGUGGCAAAGGGUACAGCACCCAUUUCCUUCUUCUCUCCCCCCCCCCUUUCAACGGGGCUCGAAGGAAGUUGGGAUACCUUCGGAGCUGUUCCUGCAGGAGGGGGUGGCCCAGGACCUUGAAAUGGAGAGGUACCUCCUUCCCAGGAUCAGGGGCCCAUGGCAGGCAGAGAUCUCCCCCCUCCCUCAAUUGAGGCCAUGGGGGCCUCAGCCUUAUUCGAGGGGGGUUUGGGGGUCUCCACUUGAGAGAGAUGGGAGGACUUCUUCUGACCUUGCCUAGUCGUUUCUCUAUCCUUGCAGUGUCCACAAGCACCCUCAGAAGACAUCAAAGGUAAGGAAGAGAAGGUGUGGUAAAAGAGGGAUGGACUCCACACUUCUUUUCCUCUCACUGCCCCUCCUUUAAGCUUCUUCCUCCUACUUGGGUCUUCCUCCCGCGCUGUUGUCCCAUUCCUUCUCUUUUGGCCCAUACCCAAGAGGGAAGGGGACAGCUCCUAUUUCACUCCUCUGCCAAAUUGUCUUUUUCAGGACCCUGAAGAGGCAACGCUGGCAGAUACCCCUGGCUCCCCAGUUUGAGCAGGUGCAUUGCUCUUCUCCGGGAAGAAUGACCGUUGGCCCCCCCUUCUUGUUCUCAGUUCUUGUCCUGCCAGGCCUCACCUCCCUGUGCGUCUCCUCCAGAUCCCUGGGCCACGAGGAAGCAGAUCUGGCCCUGCCCCCCUCGGAGAUGGUCCUCCCUGGGCCCAGAGCAGGCGAAAGAACACCUGCACCAUCUAUGCCAGCUGGUCUGCCGUCCCUCCUCUGCAGAGGCCAUGUAGGUAGUGGACUACUUAGUCCGCAAACAUCUGAAGAUGGCCACGGACCAUGUUCUGGAGUCCAACGGGAGGUGCCACUCCCCUGUCCCCAUGAGGCCCUGAGCAGCCUUCCCCACAGAGUUGGAGAAAAGAAUGACCCUGACCAUGGCUCCCUCUUCCCUCCCUUCAUUCACGGGGAUUGUGGUGAAUUCCACCAUGCCUCCUAUGUCAAUAUAACAAUAUAAUAAUAUAUAAUACUAAUAUUAUGCUAUACUGAUAAUAUAAUAUAUUGUAUAUAAAUAUAAUAUUGAUAUUAUAAUGUAAUAUAAUAAUAAUAAUACACUAUUAUAAUUUUAUAUUAUAUAUUACAUGUAACAUUACUAAAAAUAUUGCAGCAUAGUGGUAUAGUAAAAUAUAGCAAUAUAUAUUACUUAUGUUGUACUAUGCCAAAUAAUACAGGGUGUUUGAAAAAGAACUCCCUAUUCACCAUUUAAAUUAAAUUAAAUUCAGAGUGAGAAGGGCAGGAUAAAAAUGUCACAAAUAAAUAAAUAAAUAAAUUGAUUUGCGCCAUACCCAAUUCACUCUACUGCUACAUGGUAGUGGCACUUGACCUGUUCCUGGCCAAGGUGAAGGAGGGCCUUUGGCUGGCCCCGGAGGGCAAGGAACAGGGCAGCCCCACUUUGGAUGCAGCCACAGUAAGGACAUCCCCACCUGCACCUUGUCUUUGGGGAGCUGGGGAAGGAGACGGGGCCCCUCUUCCCUGGCCUUCAACAGGGACCUUCCUUGCAUUUCAGCCUCCUUUUUCUCUCUCCGUAGGCAAGAGCGACAGGGACCAUCGGUGGGAUCGUCAGGCAUGUCAGGGACUGCACUUGCCUGGAGGAGUGGUUCCUGGAGCUUCUGCUAGCCUUAAUGACCAACUACAUCAAGGUCACAAGGGCUGGGUUGGAGGUGUCCAGCAGGAACUGGAGCAGCACCUACAUUUCUCCAGUCAGGAGUGGGUGGGGAGGAAGGGUCAGUGGGGCUACCAGCCCUCUCUUUUGUGGGCCAUAUGGGGGAUUCAAACCCUCCGCUGGGAAGUAAACCUUUUCUUUCAUAUUUCUGCAGAGAACCGGCGAAGAUCAUCUUGGUGCUGGUGAAGAGGGUGGCCCAGGUGUCCUUCAAUGAGACUUCUGAGAAGAUGCUAGAAGAGCUCAGCAUCUGCCCCGAAGGAAUGGCCCUUCAGUUGUGGAGCCUUCUCAAGUCCCUCGCCUCCUUGCUCCAGCGGCUGUGUUCCACUUGGGAAGCAGAAGUGUUGCUGAAGCAUUCGGCUGGAGUGGUGGCCUUCUACAUCCAGCUGCUGCACAUUGGCCAGUGCCCACACUCCCCGGAGAAGACCUGGGUGCCGCUGAUGGCCUGGCUCCAACAUUGCAGCCUGGCCUUCCAACACCAGAGCAGGCAGGGCCUUCUCCUUCUGUGCAAGACGUACAGGGAGACCAUAGGCCUACAGGAGUUCUUGGACGGGGUUCUCGGGGAGCUGCGAUCCCCCCCACAGCAAUGUUGCCCUAGAGUUUCUGGGCCUGGCUGCUGUAGGAGGAAGAUUGGGGCCCCACGAAGGCUCACCUGGCUGCUGGGUGCCUCCCUCCCUUCCACCACGAGUGGCCAAGAUCUAAAAGGCAGCCCUGGAAUGCUUCCAGCAUCAUCUCUGGUGCCCAGAACAUCCCUAUCAGGAGUGCCAGACCAUUCAUGACUUCCUUGCUGCGCUCGUUCAUGUGGAGGACAAGGACAAGGAGGUGGCCAAGAUCCAGCCCUGCACAUCCAGGAGGAAGGUGGAGGAACAGGUGUAUGGCUGCCUGCCUUUCUUGAAGAGCCCACAACCCUCAGCAAAGAUGAUGCACUUCGCACUUCUCUUCUCUUUCAGCUGCUGCACAUUGGCUGGCAUCCAG
Molecule: RNA transcript, 4276 nt
Organism: Anolis carolinensis (green anole)
Lineage: Eukaryota; Metazoa; Chordata; Lepidosauria; Squamata; Anolidae
Exons: 7
Source: RefSeq, a predicted model, not a curated record